CCAAUAGCGUAUAUUAAAGUUGUUGCAGUUAAAAAGCUCGUAGUUGAAUUUCGGGAUUGACGUGAUGGUCGUGCCUUAAGGGGUAUGAACUGUUGCAGUCAAUUUCUCACCUUCUGGAGAAAUAUGAUGUCCUUAAUUGGGUGUCAUAUGGAACCAGAACUUUUACCUUGAAAAAAUUAGAGUGUUUAAAGCAAGCUUAUUGCUCGAAUACAUUAGCAUGGAAUAAUAAAAUAGGACGGCAUGAUUCUAUUUUGUUGGUUUCUAGGAUCACCGUAAUGAUUAAUAGGGAUAGUUGGGGGCAUUAGUAUUCAAUUGUCAGAGGUGAAAUUCUUGGAUUUAUUGAAGACUAACUACUGCGAAAGCAUUUGCCAAGGAUGUUUUCAUUAAUCAAGAACGAAAGUUAGGGGAUCGAAGACGAUCAGAUACCGUCGUAGUCUUAACCAUAAACUAUGCCGACUAGGAAUCAGACGAUGUUAAUUUUUUAAUGACUCGUUUGGCACCUUACG
RNAcentral lists this ribosomal RNA (506 nucleotides) under uncultured Glomeromycotina. RNAcentral describes it as "partial small subunit ribosomal RNA". It matches the Rfam family "Eukaryotic small subunit ribosomal RNA", at positions 591 to 1092 of the family's 1831-position model. The record is from RNAcentral. Lineage: Eukaryota; Fungi; Glomeromycota.